GACGAACGCUGGCGGCGUGCUUAACACAUGCAAGUCGAACGGAAAGGCCCUGCUGUUGUGGGGUGCUCGAGUGGCGAACGGGUGAGUAACACGUGAGUAACCUGCCCUUGACUUUGGGAUAACGUCAGGAAACUGGGGCUAAUACCGGAUAGGAGCUCGUGCUGCAGGGUGGGGGUUGGAAAGUUUAGGCGGUUGGGGAUGGACGCGCGGCUGAUCAGCUUGUUGGUGGGUGAGGGGCUUACCAAGGAUUUGAAGGAUAGCCGGCCUGAGAGGGGGACCGGCCACAUUGGGCCUGCGAUACGGCCCAGACUCCUACGGGAGGCAGCAGUGGGGAAUAUUGCACAAUGGGCGGAAGCCUGAUGCAGCAACGCCGCGUGCGUGAUGACGGCCUUCGGGUUGUAAACCGCUUUCGCCUGUGACGAAGCGUGAGUGACGGUAAUGGGUAAAGAAGCACCGGCUAACUACGUG
RNAcentral lists this ribosomal RNA (468 nucleotides) under uncultured bacterium. RNAcentral describes it as "partial 16S ribosomal RNA". It matches the Rfam family "Bacterial small subunit ribosomal RNA", at positions 28 to 507 of the family's 1533-position model. The record is from RNAcentral.